Molecule: ribosomal RNA, 253 nt
Filed under: uncultured bacterium
Lineage: Bacteria
Description: partial 16S ribosomal RNA
Rfam family: Bacterial small subunit ribosomal RNA
Source: RNAcentral
GACAUAGGUGGCGAACGUUAUCCGGAAUUAUUGGGCGUAAAGAGCUCGUAGGCGGUUUGUCGCGUCUGCUGUGAAAACCUAAGGCUCAACCUUGGGCUUGCAGUGGGUACGGGCAGACUAGAGUGCGGUAGGGGUGACUGGAAUUCCUGGUGUAGCGGUGGAAUGCGCAGAUAUCAGGAGGAACACCGAUGGCGAAGGCAGGUCACUGGGCCGCAACUGACGCUGAGGAGCGAAAGCGUGGGGAGCGAACAGG